GUGCUCACCUCGGCAACACAUAUACUAUAAAACUAGACUGAUACAGAGAAGAUUAGCAUAGGCCCUGUGCAAGGAUGACACGCAAAUUCAUAAAGUGUUCCAUAUUUAA
This is a small nuclear RNA of Acomys russatus (golden spiny mouse), 109 nucleotides long. Lineage: Eukaryota; Metazoa; Chordata; Mammalia; Rodentia; Muridae. The record is from RefSeq and is a predicted model, not a curated record.